ACGGGAGGCAGCAGUGGGGAAUCUUCCGCAAUGGGCGCAAGCCUGACGGAGCAACGCCGCGUGAGUGAAGAAGGUCUUCGGAUCGUAAAGCUCUGUUGAGAGGGACGAGAGAUAAUGUCAGGAAAUGGGCAUUAGAGGACGGUACCUUUCGAGGAAGCCACGGCUAACUACGUGCCAGCAGCCGCGGUAAUACGUAGGUGGCGAGCGUUGUCCGGAAUUAUUGGGCGUAAAGGGAGCGCAGGUGGGAUUGCAAGUCAGUCUUAAAAGUGCGGGGCUCAACCCCGUGAUGGGAUUGAAACUGCAGUUCUUGAGUGCAGGAGAGGAAAGCGGAAUUCCUAGUGUAGCGGUGAAAUGCGUAGAUAUUAGGAGGAACACCAGUGGCGAAGGCGGCUUUCUGGACUGUAACUGACGUUGAGGCUCGAAAGCGUGGGGAGCAAACAGGAUUAGAUACCCUGGUA
Molecule: ribosomal RNA, 458 nt
Filed under: uncultured Anaerovibrio sp.
Lineage: Bacteria; Bacillati; Bacillota; Negativicutes; Selenomonadales; Selenomonadaceae
Description: partial 16S ribosomal RNA
Rfam family: Bacterial small subunit ribosomal RNA
Source: RNAcentral